AUCCCAUGAUGAGGACGGGCGGCCACGUACUCCUGCAGUCGUUCCCACGCUUCCGAAUGGACUCAUCCCUUGUCUGCUAGAAACUGGAAAUCAUUCCACGAAGAGC
This 106-nucleotide small nucleolar RNA is filed under the name Oryza glumipatula. RNAcentral describes it as "Plant small nucleolar RNA R71". It matches the Rfam family "Plant small nucleolar RNA R71". From Rfam's summary of the family: R71 is a member of the C/D box family of snoRNAs containing the C (UGAUGA) and D (CUGA) box motifs. Lineage: Eukaryota; Viridiplantae; Streptophyta; Magnoliopsida; Poales; Poaceae. The record is from Rfam by way of RNAcentral.